RNAcentral lists this ribosomal RNA (516 nucleotides) under uncultured bacterium. RNAcentral's name for it is "partial 16S ribosomal RNA". It matches the Rfam family "Bacterial small subunit ribosomal RNA", at positions 355 to 889 of the family's 1533-position model. The record is from RNAcentral.
UGGGGAAUAUUGGACAAUGGGCGCAAGCCUGAUCCAGCAAUGCCGCGUGAGUGAUGAAGGCCUUAGGGUUGUAAAGCUCUUUCGCACGCGACGAUGAUGACGGUAGCGUGAGAAGAAGCCCCGGCUAACUUCGUGCCAGCAGCCGCGGUAAUACGAAGGGGGCUAGCGUUGUUCGGAAUUACUGGGCGUAAAGGGCGCGUAGGCGGCCUGUUUAGUCAGAAGUGAAAGCCCCGGGCUCAACCUGGGAAUAGCUUUUGAUACUGGCAGGCUUGAGUUCCGGAGAGGAUGGUGGAAUUCCCAGUGUAGAGGUGAAAUUCGUAGAUAUUGGGAAGAACACCGGUGGCGAAGGCGGCCAUCUGGACGGACACUGACGCUGAGGCGCGAAAGCGUGGGGAGCAAACAGGAUUAGAUACCCUGUAGUCCACGCCGUAAACGAUGAAUGCUAGACGUCGGGGUGCAUGCAGCUUCGGUGUCGCCGCUAACGCAUUAAGCAUUCCGCCUGGGGAGUACGGCCGC